GUAAACCUAAAUAGACAUUUCUCCAAAGAAGAUAUACAGAUGGCCAACAGUGAUCACCAUUUCAGAUGCAUCGAAGCAGUUCUUCUUUCACAGGCUACCCUUGGUGAAAUUGAUCCAACCAGCAGGAGAAGCUGGUGCCCUCUGAGCUAAACAGGCUUCGAGCCCCCAAAUCAGAGAAACUGAAAGAGGAUCUGGCAGAAGAACAACUGCAGAUGCAGCCCCGUAGGUCACCGUGUUUUCUAUACCGAGAUGCCUUUUGGUUUCAGAGGGAUGCCGUGAUAACCCCCAUCCCCAGCACAUCUUCACUGGAGGUUUAUUUACAAUGUACAAUCCAGACACAGCAGGUGCAGCAUACUAAAAGGAUUUCCUAGGCAGUGAGCCUGGUCUCCAGAGAAACGCUCUAAAGGGCUGCACGGAGAUUCUGAAAGUGUCUUUCUGAAAACUGGCUUUAGAAUAUAUGAAUAUCAGAAGAGUGCCCUGAGGUAAAGAAGAUACCACUUUUUAAGGAAAAGAUCCAAUUUGGGAAGCAAGAACUGUGCUUUCCGUGGCCGGAUAGGUAAGAAGACCCUGACCUUCUGACGAUAAGAGUGUAUUAUUUCUGUCACGGCAGGGGACCCAGCACACAAUCUGAGAAGUGAAGAGAUUUGCAAUUUACAUCUUCAUUGCGAUACAGCAAAAAAAAUGCGACGUGGAAAUACAGCUUUUCUUAGAGUUAAUCUACACACCUACAACCCGUGAUAAGAAUUAGAUGUAGUUAGCCUUAGAAAUGAUAAGUUGAGAUACUGUGUAGUUCUCAGUACUGGGGGAGAGCAGGAGACAGGAGAAUAAAAUAGAAAGAUGCAUCCAAGCACUAAAUAGAGAUGUUAAGAAAACUCCACCUGCGGCAAGCCUGGUAUUCACCUGAUGUGUUGUUGCUGUCUCUCAGAUCAUUGGAUACACCUUAAAAUGCAAAUUGCUCCUUUCUAGAUACUGGCAAUUCUUCUCUCUCUUCAGAGGACUGAAGGUUCCUGCUUCUCCUGGAGCCUUUAUUAUCCUUUACUAUUCGGCUCUGAAGAGUCUACUAACGAACAGUGACUCCUAACAAAAAAGGAAAUGAAACCGAUCUACGACGCAGAUUCAUGGAAACCUACUUGAUGGCUAUUUUAUCACUUGUCAAAGAUCAACAGUGUGCAUAAUAACAAUGAAUUAUUACUCUAGUUUUCAGAGUCCAUACCGUAUUUUUCGCAUCCUACGUCCUCCUGGUUUUUAUUAUAAUUCUUAUCGAAUGCUGAAGAGUAGCAGAAUAUACCACCUGAAAAGGGCACUCUGGCAUAAGGAUUAAUUUGAGCUGAUGGCAACUGAGAAGCAGCAGCUACAAGAAAAGCUCUCUGCGUUCCCCCAUUUGCCGAAAAGCAGGACCUAAAUUUGUAAAGGUGUCCUGUCUCCUCUCUACCGGGAAGGACCGAAGUUAGUCACCUGGGACAACUCUAAACUCUAGACCCUGAUGAGCCCAGAGAUGGCAGGUGAGGAAUCUUUACGACAGAGGUGACUCAUCACCCUUAUCUUCCAUUAUUUCCCCACGUAUUUACGUUCCCACAGUUUGCUGCCCUGGAAACUCAAAGUCCUUUCCUUUGUCUUAUCACUUCUCUAAAAAUGUACUGUUCUUUGUUAAGAUGCCAAGUAAGCCCAAGUUCUAACCACCCCCUUUGAGUUACUCCUCACCGAGUGCUCCCUUGUAUAUGGGAGACACCCAUGUUAACAAACUUCUGUUUUUCUCUUGUGGAUCUCUCUUUGCAGGGCCCCAGCCAGAGAACUUAGGAGGGUGCGGGAGAAAGGUUUUGGUCCUUCCCCUACAAGAAUAAAGCUUGCUGUUAUAAAUAUUACACUUCUUCCUCCCCUAUAAUAUUUUAUAAAUGUUACAUUCUUUUUCCCCCUACCCACUUAGAAUGCUAAAUAUUUGAUUCUUUGAGUUCAUAAAAAUGCCUAGUUGACCCUAUUUCCUAGAUUCUAAAACCUUAUCAAUAGUAUGAUACUUUAUUUUUUUCUGAAAUGCUUCAAACCUGAUUUUAGGUGAUAAAACUAAAAGUAAUUGAAUUUAUAUAUCUAUGCAUGUAUGUAAAAUUAUGAAGUAAAGCAAGUUAAUGAUUAAACGGGGGGUCAAUGGAAAGAGUGGACUGUGUGAUUUCUUGAACUGAAUAAGAGGUACCUAGGUUUUUCUUUUAUUACUCUUAUACUUCAAAUACAUUAUUUAUACAUACCUAUAAUAUACAUUUUGCAAAUGUAUACAAAUAUAUGUAUGUGUACACAUAUGGUAUCUCUAUAUAAUUGGUAAAGAUCAAUUUGUGAUGGCUGAGUUCUGAUUUAGAUUGAGCAUGGGCUGUUACUCUGCUUUGAGGUUAUCCCCUUUAGUCAUUUUUAGUCAUUGUUUAUGUAACUCAUGGAUUGAAUGGCUUUUGAAAUAGACUUUCUCCAAUGUAAUUUAGCUGGGAAUAAACAUUUUUUGACAAUAUUAUAUCCCAUUACUUCUCCAAGAUCAAUCUACUAGAAAGCUUUCUUUAAUUAUAAUUGUGUAAAAGGAAGAGUUUUCCCUUACAGCAGCACUUGCCUAGGAGAUAUCAAAAUGAAAAGUAUUUCACUAAAAUUUUAACCAGCUGGCAUUGUUAAAGAAUCACCAACUUUGAGUGACCCACGCAUGCUAGCCUGGCAUUGGACCUGACUGGAGACUCUUUCCUGACAAAGGAGCAAUGCGAUUUGUUUUAACUAAUCAUGAACAGACCUAUGGAUGCAUUCCCCUAUCUGCUUUCAAUCCUUAAUCGGAAAGCCCACCAUGAAAUCCUCUUCCAAACCUUUGAAACCCAGGACUUUCCCCUUGUCUAACUAACUACUCGGGGAAAAUUCUUCACUGGUAUGUUUUUGAAGCUGACAAAUAAACAAACCCAACUUUUUAAAUGGUCUUGUUUUGUUUUGUACUGGCUCCAGUGGAUUUUGCAGUCCUUUUGAAACCUAGGUUCAGGAUAUUGAUUUAACUUAUAGUUUAUUUAGAUCUGAAAAUAUGCUCGUGAGAACGAAGCUGAAGUUAUAUUUAGUCAAUAUUUUAUCUGAUAAUAACUCUUUUGAUGACAUUAUCUUUUUUCAUAAUUUCUUAGAACUGUCUUGCGUCUCAUGUUUUUAUGUCAAUACAAAAGCAGAAACUGACUAUUUUUUCCUUUCUUUUGCCUCCUUUUAUUUUUUGUUCUCAU
Molecule: non-coding RNA, 3218 nt
Organism: Delphinapterus leucas (beluga whale)
Lineage: Eukaryota; Metazoa; Chordata; Mammalia; Artiodactyla; Monodontidae
Source: RefSeq, a predicted model, not a curated record